Molecule: long non-coding RNA, 179 nt
Organism: Etheostoma spectabile (orangethroat darter)
Lineage: Eukaryota; Metazoa; Chordata; Actinopteri; Perciformes; Percidae
Exons: 3
Source: RefSeq, a predicted model, not a curated record
CAUUGGAAAGGUAACACUCUCAGGUUUUUGUUACGUUAAGUGUCAAGGUGAUGCUAAGCCUUACUGACACAGAGUUACAGAGGCUUGAAUGGAGCUUUUUUCCGUCCAAGUAAUACAUCUGUAAAAUGACUAAAAUACACUGCUGUAAACACAUCUAGUAACAUACAGACACACCCAGA